RNAcentral lists this ribosomal RNA (450 nucleotides) under uncultured bacterium. RNAcentral describes it as "partial 16S ribosomal RNA". It matches the Rfam family "Bacterial small subunit ribosomal RNA", at positions 354 to 796 of the family's 1533-position model. The record is from RNAcentral.
GUGGGGAAUCUUCCGCAAUGGACGAAAGUCUGACGGAGCAACGCCGCGUGAGUGAAGAAGGUUUUCGGAUCGUAAAGCUCUUUCGUUAGGGACGAACGUGCUCUUUGUGAAUAAUGAGGAGUAAUGACGGUACCUAAAUAAGAAGCCACGGCUAACUACGUGCCAGCAGCCGCGGUAAUACGUAGGUGGCAAGCGUUGUCCGGAAUUAUUGGGCGUAAAGCGCGCGCAGGCGGGAUAUCAAGUCUGUCUUAAAAGUGCGAGGCUCAACCUCGUGAGGGGACAGAAACUGGUAUUGUUGAGUGUCGGAGAGGAAAGUGGAAUUCCAAGUGUAGCGGUGAAAUGCGUAGAGAUUUGGAAGAACACCAGUGGCGAAGGCGACUUUCUGGACGAUGUCUGACGCUGAUGCGCGAAAGCUAGGGGAGCGAACGGGAUUAGAUACCCUGGUAGUCC